This 253-nucleotide ribosomal RNA is filed under the name uncultured bacterium. RNAcentral describes it as "partial 16S ribosomal RNA". It matches the Rfam family "Bacterial small subunit ribosomal RNA", at positions 524 to 776 of the family's 1533-position model. The record is from RNAcentral.
UACGUAUGGUCCAAGCGUUGUUCGGAUUCACUGGGCGUAAAGAGCACGCAGGCGGACUAUUAAGUUAGGUGUGAAAACUACGGGCUCAGCCCGUAGCCUGCACUUGAAACUGGUGGUCUGGAGUCUCGGAGAGGCAGGCGGAAUUCCAGGUGUAGCGGUGAAAUGCGUAGAUAUCCGGAGGAACACCAAUGGCGAAGGCAGCCUGCUGGACGAUGACUGACGCUGAGGUGCGAAAGCGUGGGGAGCAAACAGG